AGACGGGGGGUGCUAGCGUUGUUCGGAAUUACUGGGCGUAAAGGGCGCGUAGGCGGCUCUGCGAGUCGGGCGUGAAAUCCCGGGGCUCAACCCCGGAACGGCGCUCGAUACUGCGGGGCUGGAGACCGGAAGAGGAGGGUGGAAUUCCCAGUGUAGAGGUGAAAUUCGUAGAUAUUGGGAGGAACACCGGUGGUGAAAGCGGCUCUCUGGUCCGGUUCUGACGCUGAGGCGCGAAAGCGUGGGGAGCAAACAGGAUUAGAAACCCUAGUAGUCC
This 274-nucleotide ribosomal RNA is filed under the name uncultured bacterium. RNAcentral describes it as "partial 16S ribosomal RNA". It matches the Rfam family "Bacterial small subunit ribosomal RNA", at positions 523 to 796 of the family's 1533-position model. The record is from RNAcentral.